This 642-nucleotide ribosomal RNA is filed under the name Triticum aestivum (bread wheat). RNAcentral describes it as "partial small subunit ribosomal RNA". Lineage: Eukaryota; Viridiplantae; Streptophyta; Magnoliopsida; Poales; Poaceae. The record is from RNAcentral.
AUGAAAUGCUUAUCUUGGAAUUGUCGCGGGCUUGGGAACCCGGAGAUAGUUCGAGAACUUCACGGCCUUGUGAAAAUGGAAGUUCACGCCCUAGUCUUCUUGUGUGAGAUGAAGAUCGAGGGGAAACGUGUGAGUGAUUUGAUGGCCAGGCUUGGUUUUGAAGGCUGUUGUCUAGUGAAUAGUGAAGGGCUCAGCGGAGGUUUAGCUCUGUUUUGGUCCAAAGAAGUUUAUGUAACCCUCAAUAAUUUCUGGAAUCAACAUACUGAUGUAAUGGUUAAGAACAUUGGGGGCGACAAUAAGGUGUGGCGGUUCAUGGGUUUCUAUGCAAAAGCUAGACGUAGUGAACGCGUCGAAAGCUGGAAUCUGUUAAGAUGGCUCAAAGCUCAAAGUGAUGUACCGUGGAUAUGUGGAGUUGAUUUUAAUGAAAUUACAGAUAACUCUGAGUACUUUGGAGCUCAUGAUCGGCCAGAGUGGCAAAUGGAUGGUUUUCGUCAGUGCCCUGAUGACUGUGAACUACAAGACCUGGGUUUCCAAGGUGUUCCUUUUACUUGGGAUAACAUGCAACAAGGUGACUUGAAUGUGAAAGUUCGUCUAGAUAGGUUUCUAGCGAACCCAACAAUGAUUGAAGGAAAUAUGCCCUAG